UCUGGUAUGAAAGGUUUGACGAGAUAUUAACUGUUUCAUAGAAAUUUAUAAUAGAAUUUUAUUUUUUAGUCAAAAAGCUAAAAUAAAAUUAAAAGACGAGAAGACCCUAUAAAUCUUUAUAUAUAAAUUAUUAGAAUUUUGUAGAUUUUUUUUAUUAUAAUAAUUAAUUAUAUUUUAUUGGGGUGAUAUUAAAAUUUAAUAAACUUUUAAUUUUUAAAACCAUUAAUUUAUGAAUAAUUGAUCCGUUAAUAACGAUUAAAAAAAUAAGUUACCUUAGGGAUAACAGCGA
Molecule: ribosomal RNA, 289 nt
Filed under: Sarcophaga dux
Lineage: Eukaryota; Metazoa; Arthropoda; Insecta; Diptera; Sarcophagidae
Description: partial 16S ribosomal RNA
Source: RNAcentral